Molecule: ribosomal RNA, 292 nt
Filed under: uncultured bacterium
Lineage: Bacteria
Description: partial 16S ribosomal RNA
Rfam family: Bacterial small subunit ribosomal RNA
Source: RNAcentral
GUGUCAGCAGCCGCGGUAAUACGAAGGGGGCUAGCGUUGUUCGGAAUUACUGGGCGUAAAGGGCGUGUAGGCGGCCCGUUAAGACAGGUGUGAAAUUCCUGGGCUCAACCCAGGACGUGCGCCUGUGACUGGCGGGCUUGAGUCCGGGAGAGGAUGGUGGAACUCCCAGUGUAGAGGUGAAAUUCGUAGAUAUUGGGAAGAACACCCGUGGCGAAGGCGGCCAUCUGGACCGGUACUGACGCUAAGGCGCGACAGCGUGGGGAGCAAACAGGAUUAGAUACCCUCGUAGUCC